This 202-nucleotide ribosomal RNA is filed under the name Vibrio sp. RNAcentral describes it as "partial 16S ribosomal RNA". It matches the Rfam family "Bacterial small subunit ribosomal RNA", at positions 855 to 1055 of the family's 1533-position model. Lineage: Bacteria; Pseudomonadati; Pseudomonadota; Gammaproteobacteria; Vibrionales; Vibrionaceae. The record is from RNAcentral.
ACGCGUUAAGUAAACCGCCUCGGGGAGUACGGUCGCAAGAUUAAAACUCAAAUGAAUUGACGGGGGCCCGCACAAGCGGUGGAGCAUGUGGUUUAAUUCGAUGCAACGCGAAAAACCUUACCUACUCUUGACAUCCUUAGAACUUUCCAGAGAUGGAUUGGUGCCUUCGGGAACUCUGAGACAGGUGGUGCAUGGCUGUCGU